GUAAAAAGCUCAGUAAAUUUGUUGUUUGACAUCUCACUCUGAGUACUGUGUGUUUCAUCUGCCUUCACUCUCACAAUUAUUAUCAACUUGCUGGCUAUAAAAGGCAGGGGCUACAAACUCAGUGAGCCAAAUGCAGUGCUUGCUUCCUAUCUGUGGUCCAUUGCAUAGCAGUGUGCUUGGGUGCUGCGUAAGACAAUUCCCCCCAACGCCUCCAAAAAAUAGGACAUGGUCCACUGCAGGAGUUCAUAAUCUAGGAGUCCAGAGAGUCCAGGCUCAUCAUCCCUUCAGAAGAAAGAAUCUUCAGGCCUCUGCUCUUGUGAGAGUAAUUUCUCUUAACACCGACAGUGCAGCAAUACAACUACCACCACCUUUCAAUUAUUGAGAGGCAAUCAUCUAAAGCAUUUGGCAAGUGAUCCACUUACGGAGCCAAGCUAAGGGAGCUGAAGAGAAGAGGCCGCCGCCCCAACCCAGCUACUCCAUGUGCUACUUUCUCUCGCAACUUUGAGCAAGAAUGUUAGAUCUUUUGCUGGGGGCCUUCGGAAGCCGUGAGGGAGCAUAUCCUGACACCCACAUAGAAGACCUGGUACCUAUGUUUCCACAUCACAAAGCAGGCCAACAAGCACACAAGGCCGCAGACCAAAUUAAGAAUCAUCUGGAUGAGUAAGAACAGUUUGAAAGUGCCAGUGACGCUGGUACAGUCCGUCACAUCCCGGUAAACAAAGGUCCUGCUGAGCGGCUCCGAGGAGGGCAGUUUGCACUGGCAAGAGUCGAGUGUGGUCUCACAGGUAAACUGUGUGAGCUGCGAAUAGUGGUGGGCGGCAAAGGCCACGGCCAGCACACAGACCGUCAGGCCCAGGGCACUCAGCAGAAAGUAUAACAGCUGCAAGAAAGCAGAAGAAAACCUUUCUGGUUACAAAGAACAUUGGAUGAUGAUUUGCAAAGCGAAUUCAUCAAAACUGUUCUUUUUCUUCCCUCCCAGAAAUUUUCUGAUGGAAAGGCUGUCUCUUCUUAGAAACACAACACCCAAGACAUGGAAAUAGCUCCAUGUUUAUUUAUUAGUGGGUAGUUCUUAAACCCUGAUCACAUUUUCACUUGCCAUCCAGAUGUUGGGCCCUUUUCAAGAGUUGUGACAACCAUAUUAGCUGGACUGUGGAAUGUUUUUGUCUAGAUAUUGCCAGCAGUUUAGAUGAAUCCCAAACAAGCUAGCCAUCCCUGGAUGACAUGUUGUGCUUAUUUUGAACUCAAGAACUUCUGAUAUUAAGACUGAAACAAGACUAGGAAGUAAAGAACAGGUUUUUGUAAUGCAAACACUGUGUGGGCCAAAAUUAGCAAUGAUGGGUCAACUAAUAGCAUAAGUUAAUUUUUUUAAAAGACUACAUUCAAUGUAGUGAUUGCCAAACUGUAUCCAUAAACAUGAGAAUCCCCAGUAGGAGGUUGCUGGGAGAAAAUAAAUUAUGGCUCCAGAAGUCAAGUGACUCAACGUCAGCUUCAUCGCCUGUGAAACUUACCCCAAGCCCAACAACGACCAUGUGAUUCCUGAGCCUGAAAAAACUCUAAAUGGUUCCUCAGUCACCAAGGUUUUGAACACUGUUGGCCUCCAGAUUAGCUUUGGGAUUGAAAAAGUCUGGUUAAAGUUCUCGCUCUGCUGCUACAGGGCUGUGGGAACUCUGAACAAUUUAGGGAUUUAGCUUACACCUAAAAUAUUCUGAGCAAAACUUGUGGGUGUUCACUGACAUGGCCACAAUAAAAUCUAUGGAACAAGAAAUAUUUUUGUGAUUGAACUCACCUACUAGAAAUGUUAAUCUUAAUGGUCCACCUGCUGAGACUCUAGAGCUGCUUGACAGGGUUGUCUGGGGAAUACAACCUUACCCUGUCAAAUGCCUUUCAAUGUUUUUCUUCUCCUUCCUUACCCCCGUUUCAUCGUGUACCUGCAAUGGGACUCUAUUUCUGUAAAAGCAAGAUAAAGGAACACAAAAUGUACUCUUUCCCUAAUUGGAUAAAGUGAGAAAGGAUAUUAGAAAACCACCCAAUGGAACUGAUAAAAAUGAGUUGGAACUUGUGACCAGCAGCUGGAUGAGAGGAGUGUGAAUCCCCCAAAUCUUAUGGAUAUAGUGUGCUUUCUUUGAUGUUCCUGCCAAAGUGAGGCUGGAAAGCUAGGAAGAUCUGUAAGACGUGUGCCAGCACAAAGUGACUACAAUUCAAAAGUUCCAAAAACCUUGCUUGAAACAAUUGCAAAUAGCUCAUCAUUUUAAACCAGUGAACCCAAGGCUGAGUGUUUCAUCAAUUUACAGAAAACCAAGAAGAGAAAUCUGACAGCUAUCCCAGUGUAUGACUUACCAUGGAGAUCUUCAAAUAGAAUCACUUUGGUUUGGGUCUCAUUUUCAUAUUAUAACACAAAUUUGUGUAUGUGGGUUAAGAUUCAUAUUUGAUAGGAACUGCUGGGAAUUCUUGCAGUUAUAUCCUCAAAAGACAAAAUAAGCAUAACCAACAGAAUUGUGAAGCAAUAAAGUUGAUUAUGGAUGAAAACUGGGCUGAACAGUCAUAGGACAUGACUUGUUCCUUUGACCUAAAAUGUGCUUUUCUUUCCUUAUCUACCCAGUGUAAUGGUACUACUCUUUCAACCAUCUUGAAUUCACUCACACUUAUUCGUCAAAUCCUGCUCAGCUAUUCCCACUACCCACAAAGUGUACCUUUUUCGUAUUCCUUACUUUUUAUACAUUAGCUCAUUUUCCCCCAAACAAUGCAAUAAAGUAAAAAAUAUUACUCUAUUUUAUAGAAACUUGCAGCUCAGAAAGGAUAAGAAACUUGCAAGUUGAUCCAAAAUAAAUUUCUAAAAAGCAUCAAAAGGUUUCAUUUCUGCAUAAUAUUAAGGACUAAAUUAUAGGAAAACUCUCUCCCUAUAAAACACUGUAAAAUGCUGGAUAAAACGUAGCAUCCCUUAUAAAAUGAAAAAACAAUUAGCCCACUAGCACUGGAAGUCAUCAAGAAAAUUGUUCUGUCUCAACAGAUGCAGGGGGGCAGUUUGAGGUUUUUCUACUACUUUCCUAGUCCUGGAACCUAUUAAGAUGAGAAAGUAACAUGAAAGUGAUCCUGAAAAAAUAAACCAAAACCUGGCUAUUUCAAUAAAUAAAUUGUAAGGGGGAGAGAGACAGAGACAGAGAGAGAGAGACACAGAGAGAGAGAAUAGAAAGGAGAGACAAAGGGUAAAUUUUUGAGUAAAGGAAAUGUUAGAAAUAUAUGAGUCAACUGCAGUGUAUAGAUCUUAUUGAGAUCCUGAUUUUGACAAAUCUAGGAGGAACUAUUAAUGAGUUAAUCAUGGAUAUUUAAACAGUGGUUUGAUUCUAUUAAGAAAUUAACUUGUUAGGUGUAUUAUUAGUAUAUUGAUUAUUUUUUAGUCUUCAUCUUUCGACUUACAUAGCAAAAUAUUUAUAAAUAAAAUGAUAUAAAGUCUGGGAUUUAGUGCAAAAUAAUCCACUGUGUAGUGUGUGUAGUGUGUGGGUGUGGAGGAAAUAUAGGAGCAUACAGAUAAGACAAGAUUGAGCAUGAGUUGAUAGUUAUCAAGGCUCGGUGAUGAGAAUAUAGAGGUUCAUUAUACAAUUGUAUCUACUCUUGUGUAUGCUUGAAAUUUUUCAUAAUAAGUAAGUUAAGGAAACAAAGUGGUUCUAGGCCUGUAACAUCACUGGGACAUAUGGCAAGACAAACCCAUCUGGAAGGGUUGUACUCUCAAAUAGGCUAUAUCAAGUUAUCAUACAUAAAGCCUCUUGGAAGAUGAACUCACAAACCAAAAUUAGCAAACACUUGAAGAAUUAAUUAUUAGUGAAGGCUAGCUCUUACAUGCAUGUACACACACACACACACACACACACACACACACACACACACACACGCUCUAAGAAUCAGAGCUAUAAGAAUUCCAAAUAAUGGAAGUAAUGAGCAGAGCCUAUAAAAAGUACAUUCAAAACAAACACAUGAAGGAAGGAACUGAAAACAUAAAGAACAGGACAGUUUUUAAAGCACCAGGGAUAUGUGAAAAUAACAUCAGUAACAACAUCAGUGAGUUCUAGAAUGAAAAAUUAAAAUUGCUGGCAGUAAAAACUCAAAGGACAAGUAAAAGGCAGAUUAAACCUAAAUGAAGAAGGGAAAAGUGAACCAGAAAAUCUGAGAAAAUAACCCAAGAUACAGCACAGAGAGAUAAAGAGAGAUGAAACAUACUAGACAGGAUAAGAAAUAUGGAGGGAGAAUAAGAAGAUUCUAAAUAUACAUCUGACAGCAAUUCCAGGCAAAGGGAACAAACUUAAUUUUAAAAUUGAGUAUAGAACCCUAAACCCCAAAAUGAGAGAAUCCACAUUUUUCCCAAGCAUUCAAGAACUGUUUAUGAAGAUUGGUCACAAAAUAAGUCUAAUCAAAUAUCAAAUAAUUGAUAUGAAAAACACAUGAACUGAGCACAAAGCAACUAAAGUGAACUCAAUAAUCAAAAGACCAGAUAAAAGACAUUAGAGAAGACUCAAAUAAAUGGUGAGAUCAUCUUUGGUCAUGUAUAGAAAGUACAAAUCCCAGGAAAUUACCAAAAGUAUUUUUCUUGGAACUUGAAAAGCCUAUUCUAAAGUGUAUAUGCAAGAGAAAAUGGCUAAGAUUCACUGAGAAAAUUUUGAAGAAGAAUAAAAUGAAGGAGGGUGGGUUGGGGGUGGGCUGCUUAUCCAUCAUCUUUAUAACAAGAUGCAUUAUAGCAUCAUUUUAAUUUAGACAAUGGUAUUGGCAUAGUGAUAGCCAAAUAAAACAAUAGAACUAAGGAAAAUCACAAAGCAAAUCUAAUAUGGAAACUUGACAGAUGAUAAAUGGGUGUAACAGAUCACUAUGAAAGGGACCGAUUAUUUAUUAAACGGUGCUAAAACAAUUAUCAAUCCAUGUGAGAAAAAAUGUAUGGACCCUUCACAUCAUUGCAAAAAGAAACCACUUAUAAUAAAGAUAUGAAUACCCAAAAGCAAACCUUUAACAUUUUUAGAAAAUGGUAUAGAAAAAUAUUUUUAUGGCCUUGGAGUAGGGAAAAAUUUCUUUAAACUACAUCAAAUCCAUAAAAAAAAGAACUGAUAAAUAUAAAUAUAUGAAGAUUAAAUCUUUUUUCAUAACAAAACACCAUAAAUAAAAGAUAUGAUACCAACCAGAAAAAGAUAUUUGUAGUACCUAAAACCAUAAAGAUUAAGUAACAAAAGUAACAAAUCCUAUAAAUAAAUAAGAAACGAACAACCCAUAGAAAAUAUUUUUUGAAUAAAUAAAUGAUAGAACACAAAAUAAAAUGGCCAAUCAACAUAAAAUAUGUUCAAUUCCAGUAGCAACACCAAAAUGCAAAUUAAAACAAGAUACCAUUGCACACAAAUAAGAUAGGUAAAGAACUCUGAUUUACCACUGGUGGAGGUGAGGUGUAAGUUAGUCCAAUUUGGAUUUGUGGUAGUGACUUGGCAAUAGCUAGUAAUUUGACGAUGUCUAUAUCUUAUGACCCAACAAUUUGACUUCUAGGAAUAUGCCUUAACAAGACUUUAUGUGCACAGGGAGUUAUAGACAAGAAUAUCCACUGUAACACCGUAAAUGCAAAAUAAAAAAUCAUUUUUGAAAACAAAUUUUCUUCAACAAGAGAAUGAAUUAACUGUUAUAUAUCCCCCCCCCCCACCACCACCACUUUCUUUUGAGACAGGGUCUUGCUCUGUUGCCCAGGCUGAAGUGCGGUGGUGCGAUCAUGGCUCACCACUGUCUCAACCUCCCAGGUUCAAAUGAUCCUCCCACCUCAGCCUCCUGAGUAGCUGGAACAACAGGCAUCUGCCACCACACCCAGCUAAUUUCUCUACAAAAAGUAUUUUUUGUAGAGACGGGGUUUUGCCAUGUUGCCCAGGCUUGAACUCCUAGGCUCAAGCAAUCCUCCCGCCUUGGCCUCCCAAAGUGCUGGGAUUACAGGUGUGAGCCACUGUACCUGGCCAAUGUUGUAUAUUCCUAACAGUGAAAUUCAGUAUAGCAAACAUGAAUGAAUGAUAUCUGUGUACUAUUAUAAAUAAAUCUCAAAAACGAUGUUGAGCAGAAAUGAUAUGAUACCAUCUGUAUAAAAAUUAAAAUAUGACAUGUUGGUUAUGGAUAUAUACAAAUUUUCAAAGUAUGAAAACAGGCUUAUGCAUAAAAAAUACCAAAUUCAGGAUAGUACAUAUCUCUGGGGAAGAUGGGAGGGGUAGGGGAAUUUGAUUAAGAAAUGAAACAUGGGAGACUUCAAUACAAUGUAAUGUUUCCUUUCUUAAAAAAUAAUAAAAAAGCAAUUAUUACAAAAUACUAAAAUUUAGCAAAGCUAGGAAUGGAUAAGUGGGCAUUUUUUUCUAUGUUAUUAUGCAUUAUUUUCUAUGUUAUUAUGCAAUUGAAAUGUUUAUAAUUUUAAAAAGCAUAGAAUUGCACAGAAUUACUGACAUUUGUUCAAAUUCACAUAGAAAUGAAAAUUUAAAAAUCAUUACCAAAUAUUUUUUGGAAAAUGAUUCUACAUUAGUAGAGCCAGAAUUCUACCCUUACUCCAAAGCUGGAGUCAUUCCUCAAAUUUCAGACCCCCUCUCCUUUCUUUUUCUGAUCUUACCCUGAGGGUUCAUCAUGUUCUUCUCUGCGCUAGCACGGUACAUUGUUUAAGGCACCACCUUGGCAUUUUGUUUUUAAAACUAAAUUGCAGUUAGUUGUACCUGUGUUUCCUCACCCAGAGACUAAGCUCUUGGGGGCACCAUACCUGGUAUAUGAAAAUACAGAGGGAGAGUGGCUAGGGUGUGGCUUCUACUCCUAACUAACUCUUGUGAUGACUUACCAAAAACUAAUCACCAAGUUCUAUAAAUACUUAUUCUUGCAAAAUAAUCAAUUUCCAAAGAAUGUAAGAGAAUCAAAGAUUGUGUUCCAGCCUUUCUCAUGAAUCAACAGGAGGGGCAGAAUUGUUACAAACAGUAUUUGUGGGAAGAAAUAAACAACCUAUAGUUUAUUUGUUUCACUUGGGGAUUUUCAAGCCCUCAGAAGAGGGAAAGGAAUCUUGCUGAUGUGGAUUGAGCCUACUCCGGUGGUAUAGUCAUGGGCUGGAUUUCAUUACUUAGCCAUAAUUAAGUCAGUUCUCAAAUUAGGUCCCAUUCUAGAAAUGACUGCAGAGAUAAUUCUAUAUUAAACUCCUGGGUUCAUAUAUGUUGAAUAGUACAAUAAAUAUAAACAUAUUAAAUAGCACAGUGCAUAGAAAUUAUACAGUAAAUCAAUAUAAAUUGAAUUAUGUAACAUUGGAAUGGGAUUGUAAAUGAGAGAACCAUCUUGUUCAACCUUUAAAAAUAUUAUCAAGUGGCUUUUCUAAUUGAGAGUACUUUAUGAAAAACAGUAUGAGGGAACAUAAAGUAAUAUAUAUUAUAAUAUUACUUCUCCUUUGAAAGUGUUUUGUCCUUUUCAACAUGAGGAGGUCAGUGUCCCCAAGCAGCCUGCAGCCUCUCCUACAUUUCCCCCUCGCCUCCCAUGGCAACACGGGUUAGCCAGACACUGAGCUUUUUGUGAUGUGUGUGUGAGGACAGAGAGAAGGGGAGCAAAGCUUCAGGGAGGUCUUGAGGUGGAAAAAUUUGUGACGCACACGAUUUGGUGACUGAAGAAGAAUUCUUUCUUGAGGGUUCUAUAACACAAUAGUUACGGUCACCCUAUGUGCAUUUAAAAAUUCCUAGUUGGUCUCAAGCCCUUAAUGCACACCGAAGCCCUUUAAGAGGCUUCUCAAACUACUUGUUCAUGGAAAGAUUAUGAGACAAAGCCAACCUGUGUGGGUUUGGUCCUUCUGUUUCAGAACCUGACUACCAAAGAGCCUGGGAGAAGUACAUAAACUUAUUGAACAUGUAACUCAUAAACUAAAAGAUUCAAACUCUGUACACAGAAUUCUGUAUGCGGUCAUGAAGAAAUCCCUUCUCAUUUAUGAUCAUACAUUUGCCUUAGGGAGUCCGAGUUUGCCCUCUUCACUGCCUUGGGUGCCCCACUAUCUUCCUGAGGUAGGCACAGUCCUCCUGCAAGUUUCUCCCUGAGAGAAGAGCACCUCCAACCUCCAACAGAAUUGAUGAGGACUGAAAUGCUGUUGCCCUUGUCUUAGAAAAUGCCUCCUUCAUAGCUUUCCUGGCAUAGCUAAAUGUGAGAUAGGGCUAAGCCUGUGAGAUCAGGCUAAUGGCCUGAUAUGCAUGCCACACCUGAUACUUUAGAAGGAAGCCAGCCAAGGAAGUGUUUUUUCCCCCACUUAGUAAUAAAGCUAAAAUUCUCUCGCUCGUCAAAGUCUAGUUAACACAUUAGCAGCCCCCUCCCCCUUUUCUGGUCUCCUGUCAUUAUCUUCCAUACAAGAGAGAGGGCUUGAUAAUAACAUAUCUUAAAGGGGUUUUUAAUUGCUCCUUACAGUGAAUGCUGAAUCUAACGCUUUAAAAACAACUGAGUAGAAUGCCACUUAAAAGCGCUUCCUCCAGGUUUCUCACCACCUCUCUCAGUACCACGGCACUCCCAGCCAGGGGAGAGUUGCUCAUUUCUGCAAAGAUUAGAAGCAGGUCCAACAGAACUUCUUCAGCAGAAUCUGAGAAUGCUCAUUUGUGAACAAACUGUCUGCUUUCCAACGUCCCGUCACUUACUGGACUUUUGCCAGCCCCAGGAAACACCAUAAUGAAACACUCACAUUUAUGAAAUUCACAAUUAGGGACCGUGGCUCUAGCAACAUUAGCUCAGAGAGCAUCAACUUUAAAUAUGCUCAAAAAUCAAACUGGAGAGCUUACAGUAUCCCAUCGUGGCCAUCCCUUUUCGUUUUGGAACUGAGAUUGGACCAAUUGUUAUGAAAGGCUGCAUGUUUUAGUCUUCCCUGGUCUUUCCCUCUUGGGUGGCUUGGGUUUGUGCAAUACAGUACUUAGUGAAGGAAAAGCAGAGCCCAGCUCAGGACUUCUUAAGUGAGGGAACAGAAUCCAAUGAGAAGCCCUUAAAUGUGUGUCAAAAUGAAGAUCUACCAAAGAGUGAAGGCACCUACUAAAGGCUAUUACCUCAUAAGGCUCAAAGGGCGGGUGGGGGGUGCCCACAGUAUGCAAUCACCACCCCCCACAGGACAGCAGGCUUGGUCAAUGGCUGAACAUAUAAGCAUUCCCCAAUGGUACCACUCAGCCAGCCACCUUUGCAUCAGAAGCCAAAGUAUCCUUGAGCUACAUCUUGACAUCAGGAUACUCCCUGGAGCAUAAAGAAAUGCAGGAAUUUACAGCGUGGAGGUUCCUAAGCCUUAAAGAGUUAAUGCAGCAAAGGAAAUGCCUAAGUUAACCUUAGAAUUGUAUUCACUAGCUAGAUUUACUUGAUUUUAUUUUUACAGAAAUUUGACAAAAGAAGCAAUCUGUAAAUGCAAUGAAAACAGCUUCCUCCAUAUGUCUCACUACUGGCAUGAGCACGGAGCCGCGCCACCCCAUCGUACCUCCGUGUGUCAGAUUACGGGCUCAGAAUACCCCUCGGAAACACUCAGACUUCUAGCUGUUCCAAGAAAGCCGUAGGGCUUUCAAUAAUAAGCUGUAAAACGAGCUUAAGAGUCACUGAGGUUGCUGUGCAAAUGUAUAACCCUCACCGGAAAUGCUAUGGACUGAAUUGUGUCCCCGUAAGUCAUAUGUUGAAGCUGUAACCUCAAAAGUAACUAUAUUUGGAGAUAGGGCUUUUAGGAGGUAAUUAAGGUUAAAUAAGAUCCUAAGCAUGGGGUCCUAAUCCAACAGGACUGGAGGAUUCAUGAGAAGAGGAAGAGAAAGAGAUCUCUUCUUCUCUUCACAUGCAUGAACUGAGAAAAGACCAUGUGAGCACACAGCAAGAAGGCAGCCGCCUGCAAGCCAGGAAGAGAACCCUCCCUAGCCCCUGACCAUGUUGACACCCUGAUCUUGGACUUCCCGUCUCCAGAACUGUGAGAAAAUGAAUGUUUGCUGUUUAAGUCACCCAGUCUACGGUAUUUUGUUAUAGCAGCCUGAGCCGACUAAGACAGAAAGAAAAAUGUAUUUUAGUUAAUGCCAUAUGUGUAGGUGUACACAUAUGAAUUUUAAAAUUAACCAGGGUGAUGGAGUGAGCUGCUUCACUCAGGCAUCUGACAGUUACUCUUGCCAAGUUUUAUCUCAAUACACAGAGAUCUGAGACUGCAUCCAAAGCAUCUGAAAGAGGGUGUGCCUAUGGAAUAGGUUUUUAUAUAGCUUAUGCUGUAAAGCCUGUUCCUAGCAUCUAUUUUUUUAAAAGAAGUUCACUGUAAGCUUAUGAACUCAUCGUGAUAAACCUAGACUUGAACAUUUACAGCAAAUAAUAACUGGAAGGUUAAACUAUGACAUCAUGAGGUCCCAUCCAGCUCUGGAUUUUGAUGGACAUUUUUUGACCAGUACUUCCUUAGUUUGCCAGGAUGGAAGACCUAAAAAUGAACUGCAUUUUGCAGUGAAUUAUACCUAAUUAAAGUUUAAUGACUAGAUUACAUUCCUGUCUGAUAUGGUUUGAUUCUGUGUCCCCACCCAAAUCUCUCUUGAAUUGUAAUCCCCAUGUGUUGAGGGGGAAACCUGGUGGAAGGUGGUUUGAUCAUGGGGGUGGUUCCCCCUAUGCUCUUCUCAUGAGAAGAUGAGAUAGUGAGUUCUCAUGAGAUCUGAUGGCUUAUAAGUGGCAGUUUCCCCAGUGCUCUCUCUCCUGCAGCCCUGUAAGAUAUGAUUUGCUUCUCCUUUGCCUUCUGCCAUGAUUGUAAGUUUCCUGAGGCCUCCUCAGCCAUGUGGAAUUGUCAGUCAAUUAAACCUCCUUUCUUUAUAAAUUAGUCUCACGUAGUAUCUUUAUAGCAGCGUGAGAACAGACUAAUACACUAUCCUACAGUAACAUAGAAACAUAUAUGCUGAACUCUUCAACAUAACCUUAUGUGUUUCCUUUUAAUGUUAUCAUUAACCCUUCAGGCCACAAUACAACCAAGUGGAUCCAGUGAAAGACCAUCCUUAAUAGAAAUGUCUCAGAUACAGCUAAAGGCAAGAGCAAAUCUAGAAAACACCCAUUUUCUCAGACCACACUGAAAGAGGGCAUCAUAUUGGCAAUCUAUCUAUUCAACUGUUAGACCAAACAUUAGAGAAACCUAUGCCAUUGUUUUCUUCGUAAAAGGUUAAGAGUGGUAAUAUCAACAUCUAGCAUUCAGCCACAUCAAUCCUAAUAUGUCCUAUUCUAGUUAGGAGAGUGCAUAUAAGUCAAAUGACCUUCCUGAGUCCUGCCAUUUUAUAACAUGAAAUAAAAAAUCUAAGUAAUGUUAAGUUAAUAUGUUCUGAAUUCUUCUAGAAUCCAGAAGCCAAAAUGGAGUAAUAACACAUUCCUUACUAUUACCUCAUAGUUGUCUUAAAUGUCAUAAAUAAAUUUGUCUGUGUUUGAAUAUACAACUACAGUCAGCCCUCUGUAUCAAUGGGUUCCAUAUCCAUGAAUAUAAUCAACCACGGAUCAAAAACAUUUGGAUAAAAAAAGGAUGGUUGUGUCUGUACUGAACAUGUACAGACCUUUUCAUGUCAUUAUUCCCUCAAUAAUAUAGUGUGUCAACUGUUUACAUAGUAUUUAUAUUGUAUUAGGUAUUAUAAGUAAUCUAGAAAUGAUUUAAAGCAUAUGUAGGAUGUGCAUAAAUUAUAUGCAAAUACUACACCAUUUUAUAGCAGGGACUUGAGUAUCUGUGAAUUUUGGUAUCAGGAGUCCCAGUACCAAUCCCCUGCAGAUACUAAGGGAUGACUGAAUAUAGCUUAAAAAUGGGCAUAUGCAUGUUCAAACAGAAGCUCUGAUAAUGGCAAGUAUGGAAUAAAUAGAUUUCAGUUCAACAUUUAUUAAUUA
RNAcentral lists this long non-coding RNA (11829 nucleotides) under Homo sapiens (human). RNAcentral's name for it is "HSALNT0186953". Lineage: Eukaryota; Metazoa; Chordata; Mammalia; Primates; Hominidae. The record is from RNAcentral.